CUCUAGAAGACUUUGGAGUGCCAUGAGGACAAGAAAACAAGAGGAAUAGACUUUGUCAGGGAGGAACAGCCAAGGAAGACUUCUCUGAGUACCUCAUUGUGGCCACCAGUACUUGGGUGGGUACCAGUGUUGAUUGAGAUCCAGCUCACUGGCUACACAGGAUCAACUGUCUGAGGACUUCAGACCUUUUGAAAGAUAAAGAUUACCCCAGAAUCAUGGAGACAUUGAGAUGGAAGGGUUGGAGAGCGUGUGCUGGAGAGCACUGUGCCGAUGGAGAGGCUGAGCCCCAGGUAAGGACUUCUGACACGGGUGUGACAGCAAUCAGGCAGGAAGAUGACCGUUCUCUCGUGGUCUCAGCUGGUCCCUCUUGAGUUUCUGAAGCAGAAACUCUGUCCUCUGCUAUCCUCAUACAAGUUGGCCAUAUCUUCCAUCUGCCUUCAGUUUAGUUCAAGAAACACUUGCUCCGUAUGGACUAGUUAAAUGAAUAAAGGAAGGAAUCUGUACUCUGAACCAGGCAGAGUGCUAUAGGUAAGGUAGUGUGGCAGAAAUGGCUGCUUAUGUUCCAGUGUCCACUCUCCCCUCUUCCCGUGGUAACAGAAUUUGUAGCUGGACAAAUAGGGCCACUCAGUAUAAAGAUCUCAUUCCCCAGUUUCCCUUGCAACCAGAUGUGACUGUGUGAUUUAGCUGUGGCCAGUGGGAUAUAGGCCGUAUCUUGGACCAGAAGUGCCAGGUAACAGGUUCCUGGAACAUCACUUAAGAGAGCUGCUUCCCUUUUGUUUGUGCCCUUUAUUCUGCUCCCUGGAAUCCUGAUGCUGCCAUCUUGGACCUUGGGGAUGAGGGACUAAAAGGAGGUUCCUGUGGGUCUCCUGCAGCCAAGUCGCCCUAGCAGCCCUGAUCAGCAGCCUCCAGACUUCAUAUGUGAGAGAGGGUAAUCUUCUGCUUAUUUAAGCUACUGUUAUUCUGGGUUUUUUAGGCAUUCAGAGCU
Molecule: long non-coding RNA, 985 nt
Organism: Mustela lutreola (European mink)
Lineage: Eukaryota; Metazoa; Chordata; Mammalia; Carnivora; Mustelidae
Exons: 3
Source: RefSeq, a predicted model, not a curated record